GAGGGCGGGGCGAGGGCGGGGCGGGCGGCCUCAGCCGGCGGCGGGGCGGUGUCGCGUCGCCCUCCUCAGCCGCGGGCUGCCGCCUCCUGCCGGCCGCGUCGGUUACAAAGGCCGCUGCCGGGCCGGCCGCCCUCAGCCUCUUCCGGCCGUGACGGCGGCGCGGGCCGGGCUCCCCGCCGGAGAUGAGGGAGGAUGUCGGUGUCGGGGCUGAAGGCUGAGCUCAAGUUCCUGGCGUCCAUCUUCGACAAGAACCACGAGCGGUUCCGCAUCGUCAGCUGGAAGCUGGACGAACUGCACUGCCAGUUCCUGGUGCGGCCGCCGGGUAGCGCGGCCUCGGCGCUCACGCUGCACUGCAACAUCACGGAGUCGUACCCAGCUUCCUCACCAAUAUGGUUCGUGGACUCUGAUGACCCAAACCUGACAUCAGUUCUGGAACGUCUAGAAGAUUCUAAGAACAACAGUUCGCUUCGUCAGCAGCUGAAGUGGUUGAUCUGCGAGCUCUGCCGAUUGCACGACCUUCCCAAGCACCUGGAUGUGGAGCUGCUGGAUCAGCCGCUGCCCGCGGGCCAGAAUGGGACCACGGAGGAAGUGACGUCAGAAGAGGAGGACGAGGAGGAGAUGGCGGAGGACAUAGAAGACCUGGACCACUACGAGAUGAAGGAGGAGGAGCCUAUCAGCGGGAAGAAGUCAGAAGAUGAAGGAAUCGAAAAGGAAAACCUGGCGAUAUUAGAGAAAAUCAGGAAGACUCAAAGGCAAGACCAUCUAAAUGGCGCGGUGUCCGGGUCGGUGCAGGCCUCAGACAGGCUCAUGAAGGAGCUCAGGGACAUCUACCGCUCGCAGAGCUACAAGGCAGGGUUUUACUCAGUGGAACUCAUAAAUGACAGUUUGUACGACUGGCAUGUGAAGCUUCAGAAGGUCGAUCCUGAUAGUCCUUUGCACAGUGAUCUUCAGAUCUUAAAAGAAAAAGAAGGCAUAGAAUAUAUUUUGCUUAACUUCUCUUUUAAGGAUAACUUCCCGUUUGACCCUCCGUUUGUCCGCGUGGUGUUGCCGGUUCUCUCCGGAGGGUACGUGUUGGGGGGCGGCGCGCUGUGUAUGGAGCUUCUCACAAAACAGCACAAACAUCUCAGUGCUCAUCUGCGGUUGCUGAGUGUUGCCGGCUGCCGUCGGCUUUCCCACGCGUUCAGAGCAGCUUUCCUCCUGCAGGGCUGGAGCAGCGCCUACUCCAUCGAGUCCGUCAUCAUGCAGAUCAACGCCACCCUCGUCAAAGGCAAAGCCAGGGUGCAGUUCGGAGCAAAUAAGGUACUUUUCUCAGUGACGUCACAUACAGACAGGAAAAUCAAUAUAAUCUAGCAAGAGCCCAGCAGUCUUAUAAUUCCAUUGUACAGAUACACGAGAAAAACGGCUGGUACACCCCUCCGAAGGAAGACGGCUAAGUGGAUGGACUGUCCCAGGCUCGGACCAACGUUGCUUUAAAGAAACCUUCCCACCGUGCAGACCAGCUUCGAGUGCCCAUAACAGCAGCCCCGACGACGUUAGCUGAUAGACACUUUAGUGGAUACUCUGUCACCUGACAUCCUGCAUAAGUUACAGCCUCUCAUUUGCUCAUUGUAGGUAUCUUGGACUCAGCAGGGGGGCCUUUCCUGUAUUUUUCUUGAUAAAUACACACACUGGCCACUCCUUAUCAUCUCUUUUUCUUGAAAAAUGAAAUCUGUUAAGCAGGCAAGUCAGCACCCGGUCCCUGGAGUUGCCGCUGUAGGUGCCGUCUCCCUCUGAGCUCGUGCGCUGCGAGGACACGCAGUGUGUGGUCCCCUCAGAGCCAAUAAAGGUGAUUUGGUGUUCCCGUCGGCUUAGGAAGUUUAAGGUCUUCUCGAUCACCGUAGCCUUUUCCGGUUGCCAGAAUAACGACAGAAAACCUGCUCCAGGAAUCGUUACACUUUUUAUGGCCUCUCUGGGGCCAUUUCCCACAGACAUGCUCUUAACUGCAUUGCAAGGUGGGGCCACGCAAGCACGUCAGCUGUCGUAGUGAUUCCACUGGGCAUGAGUCUUGCUGGCUGAAGCUGUUACUGGUUCACUAUGUCUUACGAAGAUCUGCAGUCUAGAUCUUGAGGUUAUUUAAAAUACUAAGUCAUUUUACAUUUCCAUUUUAUUAACGGGAUGUUGCAAUCGUUUGUAAACUAAUAAGCUUAUAAAGUGAUUGGCACACAGACAGACUCCUUGAGCAAAAGCUGCACAGCUAAGGACACACAGAUCCCUCAUUUGGAGACCUAAAAUUUUUUGCUACAGUCAUAACAAUGGCUUUUACUUAAAGACUAAUAGGAACUCUACACCUAUUAAUUCUUUUAUAAAACCUGACUUAAAUCAGUACCCUCUCCAUUCUCUUGCCUUACCUGAAUCAGUCCUGUUUGAUUGGAAGUAGAUUUUUAUAUACCCAUGUUUGAUUUAAAAGUAAGGUCUAGUUAUUAAGCACUUUUAAAAUGAAAUCCAGAAGCACAUUUUCUGCACAAAUCACUUACAAAGUUCAAAAGUGUUUCUUAGGCACCUGCUCUGAGAGUCAGUUUUCAACUUUGUAAGCCGCCUGGGAGAGACCCGCAUGGCUGCAGGGCCGCAGCGUGGGGGGCCGUGGGAGAGGCUGUCCUGGGUUUGCUCACGUGGCUACAUUUGUGCUCAGUUCUGAUACAGUGGCUCAGACAGGCGACAAGGCAGAAUUCUUUAAGGCAUUACAGUUCCUUAAACCUAAGGCUGGAUCUUGAAUACAUUGUUGAAUUCUUUAAUAACCUGAUGGCUACAGGCUGACAGCUGCACAUUUGGCAUGCUUUGUUUUUAUUUGGAGUUUAUUUUUCAUUGCAGAUUUAUUUGGCAAUGUACAGUAAAUUUUGUAAACUUGCAUCAAGUUUAUGAAUAAAGAAUCAUUUAAGAAA
Myotis daubentonii (Daubenton's bat) is the source of this 2918-nucleotide RNA transcript. It is a transcript of the gene named ubiquitin conjugating enzyme E2 Q2, with no coding region annotated. The record is from RefSeq and is a predicted model, not a curated record. The transcript is spliced from 13 exons. NCBI's taxonomy places the organism in Eukaryota, Metazoa, Chordata, Mammalia, Chiroptera, Vespertilionidae.